UGAUCCUGGCUCAGGACGAACGCUGGCGGCGUGCCUAAUACAUGCAAGUCGAGCGGAUUUAUCCUUCGGGAUAAGUUAGCGGCGGACGGGUGAGUAACACGUAGGUAACCUGCCUAUAAGACUGGGAUAACUAUCGGAAACGAUAGCUAAGACCGGAUAACUGGUUUUCUCGCAUGAGAGAAUUAUGAAACACGGAGCAGUCUGUGGCUUAUAGAUGGGCCUGCGGCGCAUUAGCUAGUUGGUAGGGUAACGGCCUACCAAGGCGGCGAUGCGUAGCCGACCUGAGAGGGUGAACGGCCACACUGGGACUGAGACACGGCCCAGACUCCUACGGGAGGCAGCAGUAGGGAAUCUUCCGCAAUGGACGCAAGUCUGACGGAGCAACGCCGCGUGAGUGAUGAAGGUUUUCGGAUCGUAAAGCUCUGUUGCCCUAGACGAACAGCAAGAGGAGUAACUGCCUUUUGUGUGACGGUAUAGGAGAAGAAAGCCCCGGCUAACUACGUGCCAGCAGCCGCGGUAAUACGUAGGGGGCAAGCGUUGUCCGGAAUUAUUGGGCGUAAAGCGCGCGCAGGCGGUCAAUUAAGUUGGGUGUUUAAGCCCGGGGCUCAACCCCGGUUCGCAUCCAAAACUGGUUGACUUGAGAGUAGGAGAGGAAAGUGGAAUUCCACGUGUAGCGGUGAAAUGCGUAGAGAUGUGGAGGAACACCAGUGGCGAAGGCGACUUUCUGGCCUAUAACUGACGCUGAGGCGCGAAAGUGUGGGGGAGCAACAGGAUUAGAUACCCUGGUAGUCCACGCCGUAAACGAUGCAUACUAGGUGUUGGGGAUUCGAUUCCUCGGUGCCGAAAGUAACACAGUAAGUAUGCCGCCUGGGGAGUACGCUCGCCAGAGUNGAACUCAAAG
Molecule: ribosomal RNA, 901 nt
Filed under: uncultured Paenibacillaceae bacterium
Lineage: Bacteria; Bacillati; Bacillota; Bacilli; Caryophanales; Paenibacillaceae
Description: bacterial SSU rRNA
Rfam family: Bacterial small subunit ribosomal RNA
Source: RNAcentral